AGAGUUUGAUCAUGGCAGAGUUUGAUCAUGGCUCAUAUUGAACGCUGGCGGCAGGCCUAACACAUGCAAGUCGAACGGUAACAUUUCUAGCUUGCUACAAGAUGACGAGUGGCGGACGGGUGAGUAAUGCUUGGGAACUUGCCUUUGCGAGGGGGAUAACAGUUGGAAACGACUGCUAAUACCGCAUAAUGUCUACGGACCAAACGGGGCUUAGGCUCCGGCGCCAACAGAGGCCCAAGUGAGAUUAGCUAGUUGGUAAGGUAAAGGCUUACCAAGGCAACGAUCUCUAGCUGUGCUGAGAGGAAGAUCAGCCACACUGGGACUGAGACACGGCCCA
This 337-nucleotide ribosomal RNA is filed under the name uncultured gamma proteobacterium 400m-ATT-8. Its description in RNAcentral is "bacterial SSU rRNA". It matches the Rfam family "Bacterial small subunit ribosomal RNA", at positions 1 to 333 of the family's 1533-position model. Lineage: Bacteria; Pseudomonadati; Pseudomonadota; Gammaproteobacteria. The record is from RNAcentral.